Long non-coding RNA from Homo sapiens (human), 583 nucleotides. The record is from Ensembl. Lineage: Eukaryota; Metazoa; Chordata; Mammalia; Primates; Hominidae.
UCAUUAAAGGUGACUGUACAGAAAACCAGACCAUGACUACGUGCAACCCUUUGUGGUGCCAAGAAAGAAGAAACUGCAUCAGAUAAUAUCUUAAUGAGCUGAAAAUUACUAAGAAGAUAAAGAAAUGGAGACCCCUUUCAUGGAUCAGAAGAAGUUUCAUUUCAAAUAUGUUGAGUAGCAAUGAAGAAAGAAGUGAAAGCUUGCUGUGAGGAUGCCCAUGUACACGAUGGCAUGAUUAAUACCAAGUGGAGAAAUAGAGAAAUGACCUUCUCAAAGAAUACUCAGGAGCUGUUAUAAAGGUUGAGGCUGGAAUUCAGACCUUUUUGUCUAUGGUCUCAGACUACUGCAUUCCUGGGAAGACAAGUGCUUCCUGCCAUUUCUGGAAAGAAAAGUAUACACAAACAGUAAAUUAAAGGGUAGAUCUCAAAGGAACAGCAACUCUUGAAGAUAAACUUUCUGAAAGGUGAAGUCAUUGAACUAAACUUAACUUGCGCUAUCACCCACGGAGAAAAAGCAAAAGAAGGCAGUAUUAAACUGUCUGCCCUUAAUGUCAUUACAUGUGGUUUCUCUUAUUUGACCUAUG